AGCGAACGCUGGCGGCAGGCCUAACACAUGCAAGUCGAGCGCCCAGCAAUGGGAGCGGCAGACGGGUGAGUAACGCGUGGGGAUGUACCCAAUGGUACGGAAUAACCCAGGGAAACUUGGAUUAAUACCGUAUGUGCCUUCGGGGGAAAGAUUUAUCGCCAUUGGAUCAACCCGCGUCGGAUUAGCUAGUUGGUGAGGUAAAGGCUCACCAAGGCGACGAUCCGUAGCUGGUCUGAGAGGAUGAUCAGCCACAUUGGGACUGAGACACGGCCCAAACUCCUACGGGAGGCAGCAGUGGGGAAUAUUGGACAAUGGGCGCAAGCCUGAUCCAGCCAUGCCGCGUGAGUGAUGAAGGCCUUAGGGUUGUAAAGCUCUUUCACCGGGGAAGAUAAUGACGGUACCCGGAGAAGAAGCCCCGGCUAACUUCGUG
This 430-nucleotide ribosomal RNA is filed under the name uncultured bacterium 'eubacterium sp.'. RNAcentral's name for it is "bacterial SSU rRNA". It matches the Rfam family "Bacterial small subunit ribosomal RNA", at positions 29 to 507 of the family's 1533-position model. The record is from RNAcentral. RNAcentral also lists the same sequence under 1 other name.